Molecule: long non-coding RNA, 551 nt
Organism: Triticum dicoccoides
Lineage: Eukaryota; Viridiplantae; Streptophyta; Magnoliopsida; Poales; Poaceae
Exons: 3
Source: RefSeq, a predicted model, not a curated record
CGCGGGCCGCCUCCCACAAAGUCCACGAACCCCUCGGCACAUCCUAAUCUUUGUGAAUUUUGGAUGGAAUCGAAGAAACACUGUGCUCGCUCGACAUGUUCAUGCUUCCUGACUGGCUAUGUGGAUAGGAAUGAGGUUGUUGUUGGGAGGUAAUUCCUUCUUUUGCAUCAUUUGCCCAGCAGAAGGUGCUCCAUCUGAUGCUACUGCUGCUUUUAGGGAACUACUGUAGACGCAAAGAGUAGGAAUUGCACAUAUCAGGUGAUAGUGGAGGCUCUUGUACCUUGUACUACUUGUCUACUUAUGCUGUCCUGUAAACAACACUUGUUUGUACAGUAAAUCGUUGAUUCGUCUUCUUGAAAUAUUCUGCAUCUUAUUGUUUAUAAAUCUACUGUACAUUGUCUAAUGCUUCUUAUAUGGAAGGGCCGGAUAUUCCUAGGUUUCAUGUGCAAAUGCCGCAUCAGUUGUAGUAAGAUUGAUCUACUAUAUAUGAUAGGAUUUGCUUUACUCAAGGGUAAGAAAAAUGUGUUAAGGAGAAUUGUGUAAAUCCUAUU